UAGGCCGAGGCAGGUGGAUCACGAGGUCAAGAGAUCAAGACCAUCCUGGUCAACAUGGUGAAACCCCGUCUCUACUAAAAAUACAAAAAAUUAGCUGGGCAUGGUGGCAUGUGCCUGUAAUCCCAGCUACUCAGGAGGCUGAGGCAGGAGAAUUGCCUGAGCCCAGGAGGCAGAGAUUGCGGUGAGCCGAGAUCGCGCCAUUGCACUCCCGCCUGGGUAACAAGAGCGAAACUCCGUCUCAAAAAAAAAAAAAGAAUUCUAAUUUUCAACAUGAGGAAACUGAAACAGAAAGAAAUUUAAUAAUUUGCCUAGUCAGUGCUGGAGCUAGGUUUCAAGCCCAAGCAGUUUGGCUAUAUGACAUGGCACUACCUCUCAGGCUUUGUUGUUUGGCACAUUGAGGUUCAGCAUUAUUAUAACCUCCUGGUUAAUUGUUCGAUUUAUCCUUAUGUCCUUAUUCUCUUUAUCAUUACUGAUGCAGUUUGUCUCAGUGCAACAUAAUAUUAAUAUUUCUGUAACUGGUUUAUCUAUCACAUCUUUUUCUAUCCCUUUGCUUUCUUCCUUCCUCUGACAUUAGAUUUUAAGUGUCUCUCGGAGGUAACUUACAAAUAGAUUUGUUUUUCCCCUUUUUACUUUAUAAUGUGCCUUCACACAACAAAUACGGAGUAUCUGCAUAAUUCCUAUUCUCAAUAUUUUGAAAAACAAAAGUUAUGAGGAAACAGAAAAGGAAGCAAUUAAAAGAGAGAAAAAGUCAAAUUGAAGAUUGAGAGAGAUUGAGAAAGAAAAAAAUUAUCUCUAUAUCUUUAUAUCCUCCAAUAUCACUGACCACAGUAGUUCUUCCCUACCAAAAAUUCUCUUCUCACUAGUUCUUUUCUUCUUCUUUUUUUUCCCCUGGGUCAGAGUUUUGCUCUUGUUGCCCAGACUGGAGUGCAAUAGUGUGAUCUCAGCUUACUGCAACCUCUGUCUCCUGAGUUCAAAUGAUUCUCCUCCCUCAGCUUUCCGAGUAGCUGGGAUUACAGGCAUGCACCACCACAGUUGGUUAAUUUUGUACUGUUUUUAGUAGAGAUUUUUUUUUUUUAUUAGAGAUCACCUGGCCUCAGGCGAUCCACCCACCUUGGCCUCCCAAAGUGCUGGCAUUAUAGGCAUGAGCCAAUGCACCCAGCCUUCACUGGUUCUUUUUAUGACCUGUUUGUACAUUUUUUGGCAUCUCUGUUGUCACUGCAAAUAUGCUGCCUUAAUAUUAGAACAACAGGUGGGGAUCCACCAGCUCAUCUCACUGCCACCAGAGACACAGACACGGCCUUUGUUCAACUGACUCUGGAACUGUGUGAGGAACUGCUGGAUUCUAUAGUGCCCAACAGGCAGCUCUCACCUGACUGCCAAAGAGCUGCAGGGCUUGAGGAUGGCAGUUCCGAGGUGGAUGUACAAGAAUAUAAUGCUGCUUGGAAGGCUGCCACUCUGAUUGAUGAAGAGGUAGGAAAGUUCUUUUCCUGUUCAGCUCUUUAUAGCUUAGAGGUUGGGUAAAGUAUAAUUUUGUGAGCAAACUUUAUGUUUUUCUCUACCUGAGUUACCUUAAAUUUAAAAACCACUUAUGAGUAUUCUUAUCUGAUAGCAAUAGAGUUAUUUGUAUAAGUUCAGUAAGAAUCUUUUUUCUCACAGGGCAUAAGUGGAGACACUGGUGAUUUUGCCAAGGAUUUGACUGGAAUGGCGUAUUUUCAGAAUUGACCAGACUGAAGAAUGGAGGUUGACUUUAUAUAGUCUUUCUAGGAGAGACUGGCCUAGUACCUUGUCUAUAUGGUUUUCUUACAAGAUUUCUGACCUGUGCACAACACAACUGACCUGGUGAAGUUGUACCCCUGACGCUGGGAGGUCGCCCUAAUUCCCUCCCUUCCAAUCCCUGGUCUGGCCUGACCUCACUUGUUUUGAGACAGCCAGGUGGGAAGGGGUCCUCGGAGAAUGUCCAUCCUCUUCAACUGACCUGCCUACUGGGAGGAGCCACAAGAGUUCCCAGCAUCUGCAUCAGGGAGGAGCCUGGCCCCUCUUCUUCCUGUGUGGAAACCAGGAUUCUAAUGGCUGGGUGGGAGGUGCUGUAGCAGCAACUCUGGCCUAGCGAGAGUCCCUGUUUCCCUCCUUUCUCUUUUUCACCCAAUAAUACCCUGUCUUACUCAUCCAAAUUCAAAUUGUCUGUGAGCCUGAAUUUUCAUGGCCAUGGGACAAAAAUCCCUGUCUUCAGCUGAACUAAAGGAAAGUCCUGCUGCACUUCCUCCUUAGAGACUCUUUGACUGUACGUCUUGAACCCAGGCUGCCAGAACAAAUACCAUGGACGGGGUGGCUUCAAAAACAGACAUAUAUUUUCUCACAGUUCUGCAGACUGGAAAUUGGAGAUCAUAUGCUGACUACAUCAACAUAGUCGGGGUUUGUGGAGGGAUCUCCUCCUCACUUGUAGACAGUGCAGACAGUCAUCUUCUCAAUGUGUCCUCACAGGGCCUUUCCUCUGUGUGCAUGCAGAGAGACAGCUCUGGUCUUUCUCUUCUUAUAAAGGCAAUAGUCCUAUUGGACUAAGGCCCUGCCCUUAGGAUCUCACUUUUCCACACCAUUCUUUAUUAUCUCCAUCUAGGCUCCAUCUCCAAAUACAGCCACAUUGGGAUUUGCCCUUCAACAUAAUGAAUUGGAGGGGGGCAGUGAGGCACGGUUCAGUCCAUAGCACAUUGCUCUCCUCUCCAGACCUCUCUGCCACUGGCAAGUCCUUUCAUCUCAAUUUCAGUUCUGUGAGGCCAUCCUACCAUUGUCUAUCACCCUGUUUGAUUUUUUUUGUAGCCUCAUCAUUUAUUCAUUACAGUUUUUUAAGUUCUGUUUUUUAGGGAGCUUGUCACUGCCUAGAUGAGUGCUGGGCACACAAUAGGUGGAUAUUCAAUAGGCAUGUGUUGAAUUUUAAUUCUGACGUUUGGAAUCUGCCCUGUGUUAACUUCCUUGAGAGGGCUGCCUCGCUAAGGAACAAUGACCAGAUGAUGAGUGGUUGUGUCUCGGCCAGAGGGAGGGCAGCUGCACCUAGGGUCUGCUGUUUAACACUGACUCUGUACCAUGAAGGAGGAUGUAAGUUUCUAUAAAUUCACGUAUUCUACAACCUUAUGUAUUCUGCAAAUAAAAUACUAUUUUUCUCUUA
This is a non-coding RNA of Callithrix jacchus (white-tufted-ear marmoset), 3160 nucleotides long. NCBI's taxonomy places the organism in Eukaryota, Metazoa, Chordata, Mammalia, Primates, Cebidae. The record is from RefSeq and is a predicted model, not a curated record.